GGUGAACGCUGGCGGCGUGCCUAAUACAUGCAAGUCGAGCGAACAGACGAGGAGCUUUCUCCUCUAACGGUAGCGGCGGACGGGCGAGUAACGCGUGGAUAACAUACUUCUUAUACGGGGGGGACUUCGGGAGGCCGCAUCCGAUACUGGAGCAUAUGUCGUACGGCUUAGUUCAAUAGUUAUAGAGAGUUUGCCUGACACUAAUAGAUGGCGUCGGAUUAGCUAGUUGGCGAGGUAAAGGCUCACCAAGGCAACGAUACGUAGCUGAUCUGAGAGGAUGAUCGGCCACACUGGAACUGAGACACGGUCCAGACUCCUACGGGAGGCAGCAGUAGGGAAUCUUCCGCAAUGGGCGAAAGCCUGACCGAGCCAUGCCGCGUGAGUGAUGAAGGUCUUCGGAUCGUAAAGCUCUGUUAUUGGGAAAGAACAAAUGUGUAAGAAACCAUGCCCGUUUUGACGGUACCCAAACAGAAAGCCACGGCUAACUUCGUG
RNAcentral lists this ribosomal RNA (492 nucleotides) under uncultured bacterium. RNAcentral's name for it is "partial 16S ribosomal RNA". It matches the Rfam family "Bacterial small subunit ribosomal RNA", at positions 28 to 507 of the family's 1533-position model. The record is from RNAcentral.